Non-coding RNA from Cinara cedri, 506 nucleotides. Lineage: Eukaryota; Metazoa; Arthropoda; Insecta; Hemiptera; Aphididae. The record is from the annotation of a GenBank genome assembly.
CCCUUUUUUAAAUAUGUCAAAGUUGUGCGUUGUCAGAAAGAUUUCUAAUUCGGAAUAUUUUUAAUCUAUCGGCAAAAAAAGUAAAAAUGUCACAACUACGAGUAAAUCGAAUUAAACGAUAUUUUUUAAAUGUUUUUUCGUGAAAUCAUUCAAACAAUAAUUUUUAUUUUUUUUAAUGAAAUUGUAUCAUUUGCAUACCAUUUUCUCGCGGUAGUUUUCGAAAACGAGUAGAAUCGCACUAUUAACGAAUUGUGUAUACAUAUUAUAAUAUAUUUGUUUGCAUCCCCAACAGCAAUAAUUCCGAUACCGAAAAUAUCGUGACGGCAUUUUUCGCUACGGCGACAGGUCGAACAGGGCGAUGUGGGAGAGAACUCGCGAGAGGAAUAUUAUUACUACUAUAUUUAUGUACAAGCCAGAGGUCAUUGCUAAUACGCGAUUUUUUUUUGUUUUAUCUUGCCAUCAUACCAUAGUUGGACAGGUUAGAUAUUAUACGCGACGGUUGUUUU